UCCCUGCUGGCUCAGAUGUUAAGAAUCUGCUUGCAAGGCAGAAGACCUGGGUUUGAUCCCUGGGUUGGGAA
Molecule: transfer RNA, 71 nt
Filed under: Bos taurus (domestic cattle)
Lineage: Eukaryota; Metazoa; Chordata; Mammalia; Artiodactyla; Bovidae
Also listed under: 1 other name
Rfam family: tRNA
About the family: Transfer RNA (tRNA) molecules are approximately 80 nucleotides in length. Their secondary structure includes four short double-helical elements and three loops (D, anti-codon, and T loops).
Source: Rfam by way of RNAcentral